RNAcentral lists this ribosomal RNA (468 nucleotides) under Protomyctophum crockeri (California flashlightfish). Its description in RNAcentral is "partial 16S ribosomal RNA". It matches the Rfam family "Bacterial large subunit ribosomal RNA", at positions 1902 to 2524 of the family's 2925-position model. The record is from RNAcentral. Lineage: Eukaryota; Metazoa; Chordata; Actinopteri; Myctophiformes; Myctophidae.
AAACUGGCCCUUAAGUAUGUUAAACGGCCGCGGUAUUUUGACCGUGCAAAGGUAGCGUAAUAAUUUGUCUUUUAAAUGAAGACUAGUAUGAAUGGCGUCACGAGGGCUUAGCUGUCUCCCCUCUAAAGUCAAUGAAAUUGAUCUCCCCGUGCAGAAGCGGGGAUAUGCUCGUAAGACGAGAAGACCCUAUGGAGCUUUAGACUUAAAGCAACCCACAUCAAACACCCCUCAAAGGGAACAAACAGGGUGGCCCUUGCUAAGAUGUCUUCGGUUGGGGCGACCACGGGGAAAAACAAAACCCCCACAUGGACAGGGGCCACAUAUGCCCUAAAACAUAGACCCACAGGUCAAAUCAACAGUACUUCUGACCACCAAUGACCCGGCGCAAGCCGAUUAAUGAACCUAGUUACCCUAGGGAUAACAGCGCAAUCCUCUCCGACAGCCCUUAUCNACAAGGGGGUUUACGAC